UACGAAGGGGGCUAGCGUUGUUCGGAUUUACUGGGCGUAAAGCGCACGUAGGCGGAUCAUUAAGUCGGGGGUGAAAUCCCGGAGCUCAACUCCGGAACUGCCUUCGAUACUGGUGAUCUCGAGUCCGGAAGAGGUGAGUGGAACUCCUAGUGUAGAGGUGGAAUUCGUAGAUAUUAGGAAGAACACCAGUGGCGAAGGCGGCUCACUGGUCCGGUACUGACGCUGAGGUGCGAAAGCGUGGGGAGCAAACAGG
This 253-nucleotide ribosomal RNA is filed under the name uncultured bacterium. RNAcentral's name for it is "partial 16S ribosomal RNA". It matches the Rfam family "Bacterial small subunit ribosomal RNA", at positions 524 to 776 of the family's 1533-position model. The record is from RNAcentral.